GAUGAACGCUGGCGGCGUGCUUAACACAUGCAAGUCGAACGAUGAAGCCCAGCUUGCUGGGUGGAUUAGUGGCGAACGGGUGAGUAACACGUGAGUAACCUGCCCUUGACUCUGGGAUAAGCCUGGGAAACUGGGUCUAAUACUGGAUAUGACUUCUCAUCGCAUGGUGGGGGGUGGAAAGAUUUAUUGGUCUUGGAUGGACUCGCGGCCUAUCAGCUUGUUGGUGAGGUAAUGGCUCACCAAGGCGACGACGGGUAGCCGGCCUGAGAGGGUGACCGGCCACACAGGGACUGAGACACGGCCCAGACUCCUACGGGAGGCAGGAGUGGGGACUAUAGCACAAUGGGCGCCAGCCUGAUGCAGCGACGCCGGGUGAGGGAUGACGGCCUUCGGGUUGUAAACCUCUUUCAGUAGGGAAGAAGCGAGAGUGACGGUACCUGCAGAAGAAGCGCCGGCUAACUACGU
Molecule: ribosomal RNA, 465 nt
Filed under: uncultured bacterium
Lineage: Bacteria
Description: partial 16S ribosomal RNA
Rfam family: Bacterial small subunit ribosomal RNA
Source: RNAcentral